UUACCUCAAAGCUUCAAAAUCUCUAGUUGUGGCUUCACUCUCCCCUCUAGCUUGCAAUCCCUAGCUUUCCUCUUCCCCAAGUUCUUCCUCUUCUCUUCUUCUCUCUAUCUCUCUACUUUCUCUCUCUAGCCACUCUAAAGUUAUGAGAAAUUGAAUGAAUGGAAAACCCUAGUUUUCUCUUAAGAGUUAUCUAUUUAUACCACCAAAAUGGGAAAGGUUAAUUCUCAUUCUAAUUGGGUCUCAAAACCCUUGUCAC
Molecule: long non-coding RNA, 256 nt
Filed under: Medicago truncatula (barrel medic)
Lineage: Eukaryota; Viridiplantae; Streptophyta; Magnoliopsida; Fabales; Fabaceae
Description: long non-coding RNA (MTRU_LNC003048)
Source: RNAcentral